UGGGGAAUAUUGGACAAUGGGCGCAAGCCUGAUCCAGCCAUGCCGCGUGAGUGAUGAAGGCCCUAGGGUUGUAAAGCUCUUUCAGCGAGGAGGAUAAUGACGUUACUCGCAGAAGAAGCCCCGGCUAACUUCGUGCCAGCAGCCGCGGUAAUACGAAGGGGGCUAGCGUUGUUCGGAAUCACUGGGCGUAAAGCGCACGUAGGCGGACUUUUAAGUCAGGGGUGAAAUCCCGGGGCUCAACCUCGGAACUGCCUUUGAUACUGGAAGUCUGGAGUCCGAGAGAGGUGAGUGGAACUCCGAGUGUAGAGGUGAAAUUCGUAGAUAUUCGGAAGAACACCAGUGGCGAAGGCGGCUCACUGGCUCGGUACUGACGCUGAGAUGCGAAAGCGUGGGGAGCAAACAGGAUUAGAUACCCUGGUAGUCCACGCCGUAAACGAUGGAAGCUAGCCGUCAGGGUGCAUGCAUCUUGGUGGCGCAGUUAACGCAUUAAGCUUCCCGCCUGGGGAGUACGGUCGCAAGAUUAAAACUCAAAUGAAUUGACGGGGUCAUAGCUGUUUCCU
Molecule: ribosomal RNA, 560 nt
Filed under: uncultured bacterium
Lineage: Bacteria
Description: partial 16S ribosomal RNA
Rfam family: Bacterial small subunit ribosomal RNA
Source: RNAcentral